RNAcentral lists this ribosomal RNA (501 nucleotides) under Triticum aestivum (bread wheat). RNAcentral describes it as "partial small subunit ribosomal RNA". The record is from RNAcentral. Lineage: Eukaryota; Viridiplantae; Streptophyta; Magnoliopsida; Poales; Poaceae.
AUGGCCACACUCCUGGUGGAAAUUGUGAAUAUGGUCACAAGGCAUUUGCUUCGGGACCGCUUGCCCUCGGGGACAGAAGUCCGUAAGCGCAACGGCCCGGGCGACGGCAUUUGCCCUCUCUGUAGUGUCCCGGAGACGGGCUCUCACAUCAUGUUCUCUUGCAUGGCGGCUAGGGCGCUGUGGAGCUUUGGGCGGGACGCACUCGGGCCCGACUGGGAGGCCGGAGACCUGGCGGAAUUCUUGCAGGCCAGGGCGACCCAGACUGGGCACAAGCGCCGCCUAUUCUGGCUUAUAUUUGCGGCAUUGACGUGGACCCUUUGGACUACUCGCAAUAAAAUGGUGAUUGAGCGGAUCUUCCCGCGACAGGCCUCUAAUUCGUUCUUCAAAUUUCUGGCCUUUUUACAGCACUGGCACCCGCUUGCUAGGCGGCGGGAUCGCGAGCAGCUUGGGUUGAUGAUGGAUGCGCUGGUGGCUUCGGCGCGGCGUCUUUCGGCUCCAUAG